RNAcentral lists this ribosomal RNA (421 nucleotides) under uncultured bacterium. Its description in RNAcentral is "bacterial SSU rRNA". It matches the Rfam family "Bacterial small subunit ribosomal RNA", at positions 356 to 774 of the family's 1533-position model. The record is from RNAcentral.
GAGGAAUAUUGGUCAAUGGGGGCAACCCUGAACCAGCCAAGUCGCGUGAAGGAUGAAGGUCUUAUGGAUUGUAAACUUCUUUUACACGGGAAUAAAGUGGGGGACGUGUCCCCCUUUGCAUGUACCGUGUGAAUAAGGAUCGGCUAACUCCGUGCCAGCAGCCGCGGUAAUACGGAGGAUCCGAGCGUUAUCCGGAUUUAUUGGGUUUAAAGGGUGCGCAGGCGGGAUGUUAAGUCGGCGGUGAAAUUUUGCAGCUCAACUGUAAAAGUGCCUUCGAUACUGGCCUCCUUGAGUGUGGAUGAAGUAGGCGGAAUUUGUGGUGUAGCGGUGAAAUGCUUAGAUAUCACGAGGAACUCCGAUUGCGCAGGCAGCUUACUAAGCCACAACUGACGCUCAUGCACAAAGGCGUGGGGAUCAAACA